GUGGGGAAUAUUGGACAAUGGGGGGAACCCUGAUCCAGCCAUGCCGCGUGUGUGAAGAAGGUCUUCGGAUUGUAAAGCACUUUAAGUUGGGAGGAAGGGCAGUAAGUUAAUACCUUGCUGUUUUGACGUUACCGACAGAAUAAGCACCGGCUAACUUCGUGCCAGCAGCCGCGGUAAUACGAAGGGUGCAAGCGUUAAUCGGAAUUACUGGGCGUAAAGUGCGCGUAGGUGGUUUUGUAAGUUGGAGGUGAAAUCCCCGGGCUCAACCUGGGAACUGCCUCCAAAACUGCAUGACUAGAGUACGGUAGAGGGUAGUGGAAUUUCCUGUGUAGCGGUGAAAUGCGUAGAUAUAGGAAGGAACACCAGUGGCGAAGGCGACUACCUGGACUGAUACUGACACUGAGGUGCGAAAGCGUGGGGAGCAAACAGGAUUAGAUACCCGAGUAGUCC
This 450-nucleotide ribosomal RNA is filed under the name uncultured bacterium. RNAcentral's name for it is "partial 16S ribosomal RNA". It matches the Rfam family "Bacterial small subunit ribosomal RNA", at positions 354 to 796 of the family's 1533-position model. The record is from RNAcentral.